GUUUCUUACCUGCAGCCCACGACGUCUGAGAAUGUUUGGCUCGUCCAUUGUAGUAUAAAUUAUGAUUAUACCGCUGACUCCCUUUUUCCAAUUUAAUUCAACCCAUACUGCGUCCUCCUGUAUUAUACGCUUCACUGCGACUGGAUGAGAACUGAACACAUGUCUAUCGCGGACGCGACUAAGGUUUCAUCACAAAACGGAGAAUUUCGUUUAAUUGCCAGCCGCCCGGUGACCUGGCCAGCCGUGAGAAUUGGGAAUGAAUGUGCAGGGAGGGACUUCCGAAAAAUCGCGUAAAGUGGCAGUGCGGGGACCCUAUAUCUCAUUGAUCCUAUGCAACCUUUUUCCAACCCCUGUCUCACUCGUUUUUUUCCCAGUCCACCUGGCCGUGCUGCUGCUCCAGUUUCAACUGUUCUGCCUGCGGCUAUGGAACCCUGACCUGUUCACCGGACGUGCUUGUUGCACCCUCGACAACUACUAUGAUUAUUAUUAUUUGACCAUGCUGGUCAUUUAUGAACAUUUUAACAUUUUAACAUUUUGACCAUGUUCUGUUAUAAUAUCCACCCUGCACAGCCAGAAGAGGACUGGCC
RNAcentral lists this long non-coding RNA (587 nucleotides) under Salmo salar (Atlantic salmon). Its description in RNAcentral is "lncRNA (ENSSSAG00000118434.1)". The record is from RNAcentral. Lineage: Eukaryota; Metazoa; Chordata; Actinopteri; Salmoniformes; Salmonidae.